This 1022-nucleotide long non-coding RNA is filed under the name Zonotrichia albicollis (white-throated sparrow). Its description in RNAcentral is "lncRNA (ENSZALG00000001068.1)". The record is from RNAcentral. Lineage: Eukaryota; Metazoa; Chordata; Aves; Passeriformes; Passerellidae.
UCUCCAUGGAGGACCAAGGAUCCAUUUUGGGAUUUUUUUGACCCAAAAUUCUUCCUCAUUUUCAUCAUCAUCAUCAUUUUCAUCUUCAUCAUCUUCAUAAUCUUCAUCAUCUUCAUCUCCUCCAUCAUCUUCCUCUUCCUCCUCCUCCUCCUCAGCCCCUCCCUUUAAUCUUCAUCCCCUCCUCCUCCUCCAUCAUCAUCAUCAUCAGCGGGGCCUUCAUCGCCUCCACCACCACCAUCAUCAUCAUCAUCAUUGCCUCCAUCUUCAGCAUCGGGGCCUUCAUCAUCUCCACCAUCAUCAUCUUCAUCAUCAUCACCAUUGGGGCCUUCAUCACCUCCACUGCCACCAUCAUCAUCAUCACCUCCAUCUUCAUCACCUCCACCACCAUCAUCAUCGGAGCCUUCAUCACCUCCACCACCACCAUCAUCAUCAUCAUCAUCAUCAUCAUCACCUCCACCAUCAUCAUCCUCAGGGCCUUCAUCACCGUUUCCGGCCUCUCCCUCCUCCUCCUCCUCCUCAGCCCCUCCCUUCAAUCUUCAUCCCCUCCUCCUCCUCCUCCAUCAUCAUCAUCAUCAGCGGGGCCUUCAUCGCCUCCACCACCACCACCAUCAUCAUCAUCAUUGCCUCCAUCUUCAGUAUCGGGGCCUUCAUCACCACCACCAUCAUCCUCCUCAGGGCCUUCAUCGCCAUUUUUGGGUUCUUCCUCCUCAUCCUCGGGGCCUUCAUCACCUCCACCAUCAUCAUCAUCAUCAUCGGAGCCUUCAUCACCUCCACCAUCUUCAUCAUCAUCACCACCUCCAUCUUCACCAUUGGGGGCCUUCAUCGCCUCCACCACCACCAUCAUCAUCUUCACCUCCAUCUUCAUCACCUCCACCAUCAUCAUCCUCGGGGCCUUCAUCACCAUUUCCGGCCUCUCCCUCCUCCUCCUCCUCCUCAGCCCCUCCCUUCAAUCUUCAUCCCCUCCUCCUCCUCCAUCAUCAUCAUCAGCGGGGCCUUCAUCGCCUCCGCCACCACCACCAUCA